Molecule: ribosomal RNA, 504 nt
Filed under: uncultured bacterium
Lineage: Bacteria
Description: partial 16S ribosomal RNA
Rfam family: Bacterial small subunit ribosomal RNA
Source: RNAcentral
AUUGAACGCUGGCGGCAGGCCUAACACAUGCAAGUCGAACGGUAGCACAGAGAGCUUGCUCUCGGGUGACGACUGGCGGACGGGUGAGUAAUGUCUGGGAAACUGCCCGAUGGAGGGGGAUAACUACUGGAAACGGUAGCUAAUACCGCAUAACGUCGCAAGACAAAAGUGGGGGACCUUCGGGCCUCACACCAUCGGAUGUCCCCAGGUGGGAUUAGCUAGUAGGUGGGGUAAUGGCUGAACUAGGCGACGAUCCCUAGCUGGUCUGAGAGGAUGACCAGCCACACUGGAACUGAGACACGGUCCAGACUCCUACGGGAGGCAGCAGUGGGGAAUAUUGCACAAUGGGCGCAAGCCUGAUGCAGCCAUGCCGCGUGUAUGAAGAAGGCCUUCGGGUUGUAAAGUACUUUCAGCGGGGAGGAAGGCGGUGAAGUUAAUAACUUCACCGAUUGACGUUACCCGCAGAAGAAGCACCGGCUAACUCCGUGCCAGCCGCCGCCGUAA